This 445-nucleotide ribosomal RNA is filed under the name Tritoniopsis elegans. RNAcentral describes it as "partial 16S ribosomal RNA". It matches the Rfam family "Bacterial large subunit ribosomal RNA", at positions 1835 to 2597 of the family's 2925-position model. Lineage: Eukaryota; Metazoa; Mollusca; Gastropoda; Nudibranchia; Tritoniidae. The record is from RNAcentral.
CAAGUUUUAUAUUUGUGGUUUAACCUGCCCAAUGUGAAUAAUGAAUGGCCGCGGUACUCUGACCGUGCUAAGGUAGCGUAAUCAGUUGGCUUUUAAAUGGAGUCAGGAAUGAAUGGAUUAACUGGGCUUAGCUGUCUCUAAGGUAGUAUCUUGAAUUUACUGUUUAAGUGAAAAAGCUUAAUUUUGAAAAAGGGACGAGAAGACCUUUAGAAUUUUUUCUAUUUUAGUGUGUUACUUGUUAAGGUUACUAAUAAGGAUUUUAUUGGGGCGAUAAAGAAAUAAUUCUUAACUUUCUUUAAAAUACAAGUCGAAUAUAUUAAGAAAGGAUAAAUUACCUGAGGGAUAACAGCAUAAUUCUACAGAUGAGUUUGUGACCUCGAUGUUGGACUAGGAAACUGGCAAGCUAGGCGCUUGUUAUGUGGGUUCUGUUCGAACUUUUAUUCCU